Molecule: long non-coding RNA, 2173 nt
Organism: Canis lupus familiaris (dog)
Lineage: Eukaryota; Metazoa; Chordata; Mammalia; Carnivora; Canidae
Exons: 4
Source: RefSeq, a predicted model, not a curated record
CAUCUGUUAAUAAUCCUACAGAGACAAGCAGAGCCCUGGAAGAAGGUUACUGCAACCUCAUAUGCGUUGCUGGCCAAAGGAUUCCCUGGGAAGUUCAACAGCUUAUUCUGGGAAGGAGCACAGAUUCCAGCCAGGGGACAUCAGUCAAGCCCCACCUGGAUUUUCCAAUUCCAACUGCCAUGAUGUAGGCUGACUUGAAACCUGGGUCUGGAGCAGACGUGUGGCAAUCUGGGUCAGUCUCUGCAGCAUGAGUAAAUCAGACAUGGGCCUCCUUAUUCCAGCAGUGAAGAACCCAGGGUCACGAUUCCCAGCAUCUCCUCUCCAGGCCCUUGCUCACCCAGUGCUGAGGUUUGGAAUGGAUGAGCUACCUGCAGCAGUCGGGUCCUAUCUCUUCAACCUUUUCACACUCCUGGUAAAGCUGUCAAACUUUAACCUGGACCACAGUUCCAAGGACUCCUGAACACCGUCUUGGAGCUAAGUCUAUGAAUGCUUCGCAUCAACGCUCAUAAGGUGGGAAAGCCACCUGGAAGGACAGGCAGGAGUUAACAUGACUUCUAGAUCACUGUCACCAGCAAAUGCAGCCUGGGGAUAGAAGAGUUACGUGCCGCACUGAUCAUGAUCUUUCCUGCCUGGUUCCUCACUGCCCACAGGAUAAAGUCCAAGUUCUGGAGGUUGGCAUUCAAGGCACUCCUGGGCCAGCCUCCUUCUACCUCUCCUUCUUUCCCCAUCACUACUCCUUCUGUUCUUCUUCUUAGGCUGAUCUCAUGCUCUCAUCGUCUGGAACUGCACACAACUGUCAGGACUCAUCAUGUGUCUCAGCCUCUGUAUCAGUAUUUUGAUUCUCAAUUUGAGAUAUCUUCUUCCCUAAGGCUUUGUUUCCUCCGUUGUGCCCCUUUUCUGCCCACUACCUCUAUGAUAUCAAGUCUCUUACCAUUAUUGCCAUUAUUAGUUUUUACAUCUGUGUUGCCUAUUACAUUGAAUGUUAUUCAGGGAUAAGGUCUGUUUUGUUCCAUCUGUCUGCUGCCAGCACCCCAUAUAGAGCCUGCCAGGCAGAAAGUACUCAUCAGAUAUUGGUAGUACUGUAGAAUGACUUUGCAAGAAUUUAGUAAAUGAAUAUACAGGUGAAUAGAAUAUUUCCUAUCCAGGACUGGUUUAGAGUCCAUUUUUUAAGAGUCUACAAAGGCUUGGCUUCAAGUUCCAACUGCAUGGUAUAGACAAAUUACUUGAUCUCACUACAUGCCAGUUUUUAAAAAUGCAAAUGGAAGAAGAUAAUCCUGAUAUAUUUCAGAGCUUAAAUUCUUCUAAGUGAAUCCUUCACUCCAAAACUCAUCCUUUUUCCUCAUUUAUCAAAUAUUGCCUGUCUCUUCCUACUAGAAUAUAAGUCCAUGAAGGCAUGGAUUUCUGCCUGGUUUUCACUGCUGUAUCCCCAGAGCCUAGACCAUGCUGGUUCAAUGUCAAGCACUCAAUAACAGUAUGAAUCACAUAAUAGGAGUGUUGUGAUGACUGAGUAACAUAAUGUAUAUGAAGGUCACAGCACUGAGCCUACCACAUGCUAAGCACUCAAUAACUACCAAUAUUAUAAAAUAAAGAAAAGAUAAAGAAGCAACAUUACAGCAGGCUGAUGUGUGACUCAGAACAUACAAUUAGGAUAUCAUGAAUGUUUGAAUCAUAAUUUAUGUUGGAAUUGAAAAGGAUGCUUGAAAUAAUCUGGUCUGACUUUCUGAGGCCCAAAAAGGAGAAGUGCUUUUCUCAAAGUCACAGAGCUAGCCAGUGUCAGAACCUAGACAAUAUUUUCCCCAUAUUUCUAGUGAUUCUCUAAAAUAUACUAUCAGAUUAUUAUUAUUGUUUUUUGUGAGAUACUUCCUUUCUGAAAGUAUCCUUAUGUACAGGAAUGGCUCUCCAUCUAAUCCUUUCAACACACACACACACACACACACACACACACACAGAGUUAGGUAUUCAUCUAAUUAGUCAGUGGUGUAUGAAAAUAAUACUGUAUUUUACUGUGUCUGGCAGUACAGGGUUGUAUGAUUGAAAAACUAAUGUUGCGCAGCCCGGGUGGCUCAGCGGUUUAGCGCCACCUUCGGCCCAGGGCGUGAUCCUGGAGACCCGGGAUCAAGGCCCACAUCAGGCUCUCGGCGUGGAGCCUGCUUCUCUCUCUGCCUGUGUCUCU